Molecule: non-coding RNA, 140 nt
Filed under: Leucobacter sp. UCD-THU
Lineage: Bacteria; Bacillati; Actinomycetota; Actinomycetes; Micrococcales; Microbacteriaceae
Description: Bacterial small subunit ribosomal RNA
Rfam family: Bacterial small subunit ribosomal RNA
Source: Rfam by way of RNAcentral
GCCAUCGAGCGCCUCGAACUCGACUUUUCGAACUGCUUUUCCGCGAGGUGGAGCGAAUCCCAAAAAGUCGGUCUCAGUUCGGAUUGGGGUCUGCAACUCGACCCCAUGAAGUCGGAGUCGCUAGUAAUCNCAACCUCGAU